RNAcentral lists this ribosomal RNA (1196 nucleotides) under uncultured bacterium. RNAcentral's name for it is "bacterial SSU rRNA". It matches the Rfam family "Bacterial small subunit ribosomal RNA", at positions 142 to 1366 of the family's 1533-position model. The record is from RNAcentral.
AAUAACAGAUCGAAAGAGCUGCUAAUACCGCAUAAUAUCCAGGAGAUUAGAUGCUUCUGGAUUAAAGGAUUUAUCCGCUUCGGGAGGGGCCUGCGUCCCAUCAGCUAGUUGGUAAGGUAAAGGCUUACCAAGGCGAUGACGGGUAGGGGACCUGAGAGGGUGGCCCCCCACAAUGGAACUGAAACACGGUCCAUACACCUACGGGUGGCAGCAGUAGGGAAUAUUAGUAAUGGGCGAAAGCCUGAACUAGCAACGCCGCGUGUGCGAAGGAGGCCUUCGGGUUGUAAAGCACUUUUUGAGAGGAUGAGGAAGGACGGUACUCUCAGAAUAAGUCUCGGCUAACUACGUGCCAGCAGCCGCGGUAACACGUAGGAGGCGAACGUUAUCCGGAUUUACUGGGCGUAAAGCGCGUGUAGGUGGUUUGGUAAGUAGGGCGUGAAAGCUCCUGGCUCAACUGGGAGAGGCCGUUCUAAACUGCCGAACUAGAGGAUGGUAGAGGGAGGUGGAAUUCCGGGUGUAGCGGUGGAAUGCGCAGAUAUCCGGAGGAACACCAGUGGCGAAAGCGGCCUCCUGGACCAUUCCUGACACUCAGACGCGAAAGCUAGGGUAGCAAACGGGAUUAGAGACCCCGGUAGUCCUAGCCCUAAACGAUGUAGAAUAGGCGUCGGUGGUUUAAACGCCAUCGGUGUCCAAGCUAACGCGAUAAGUCUACCGCCUGGGGGCUACGGCCGCAAGGUUAAAACUCAAAGGAAUUGACGGGUCCCCGCACAAGCAGCGGAGCGUGUGGUUUAAUUCGUUGCUACACGAAGAACCUUACCUGGGUUUGACAUAGCAGUGGUAGGGAAGCGAAAGCAGACCGACCCUUCGGGGAGCUGUUACAGGUGUUGCAUGGCUGUCGUCAGCUCGUGUCGUGAGAUGUUCGGUUAAGUCCGCUAACGAGCGCAACCCUCGCUGUGUGUUACAAGUGUCACACGGUACUGCCGGUAUUAAGUCGGAGGAAGGUGGGGAUGACGUCAAGUCAGCAUGACCUUUAUAUCCAGGGCUACACACACGCUACAAUGGUCAGUACAACAGGUUGCCAAGCCGCGAGGCGGAGCCAAUCCUAAAAAGCUGGCCUCAGUUCAGAUAGCAGUCUGCAACUCGACUGCAUGAAGUUGGAGUUGCUAGUAACCGCAGGUCAGCUAUACUGCGGUGAA